AGAAUCACUAGGCGCCGGCGCCUCCGAGGCAGUGUGUUUCCGCCCAGAGCUGGAGUCUCCCAGCUGCCAGCCGACCCCGAACCCGCACUCCCGCCAACCGCGCUUUUUGUGGGCGGUCGGAAACCACAGCCUCCGUUGGAUAUGUUCGGUGCAUGUUAUAAACAACCACUUAAACCCUCCGGAUCUGAGCCUCCCGCAGAGGAAUGCAGAAUGACGCCACGGCACGCAGGAUGUGAUGUCACCGAGAUGCAGAGGAUACUCAGUCAACCAACAUUUACUGAGCAUCUACUUCGUGCCGUAUGUACGAAGCUAGCAAAUAUGUACAGCACCAGUACUGAUUGCAGGGAGCACUGUAGAAGAGGAAUGAAGGCCAAACAAUUAAAAGCGGAGGCGGGGAGAUUGACUCUUUUCGCCGACACCUUGUAUUUCGUCUGGCAACCUUACUCACCCCUCAACCAUUUGUUUGAGUUGUUUAGAGUUAUGGAUAUAGUUAAAGUACGAAGCCAAAUGUGUGGGAAUAAUAACGCCAAAUUCAAGAUAGUGGUUUCAAUGGAGCACGAAGGAGAAAAACACCAUCAGGGGUCUUGUCAACGGAAAGGGGUCCCUAUCCAGACCCCAAGAGAGCAUUCUUGGAUCUCUUGCAAGAAAGAAUUUGAGGCGAAUCCAUAGAGUAAGCAAGGCAAGUUACUUCUAUAUAGAAGGGUGCACCCUUACAGAUCAAACAAUGCUUAGUGAUGUGUGUCAGACCUCUGAGCCCAAGCAAAGCCAUCAUAUCCCCUGUGACCUGCAUGUAUACAUCCAGAUGGCCUGAAGCAAGUGAAGAAUCACAAAAGAAGUGAAAAGGGCCGGUUCCUGCCUUAACUGAUGACAUUCCACCAUUGUGAUUUGUUCCUGCCCCACCUUAACUGAGCGAUUAACCUGUGAACUUCCUUCUCCUGGCUCAGAAGCUUCCCCACUGAGCACCUUGUGACCCCCGCCCCUGCCUGCCAUAGAACAACCCCCUUUGAUUGUAAUUUUCCUUUACCUACCCAAAUCCUAUAAAACGGCCCCACCCCUAUCUCCCUUCGCUGACACUCUCUUUGGACUCAGCCUGCCUGCACCUAGGUGAUUAAAAAGCUUUAUUGCUCACGCAAA
This is a long non-coding RNA of Homo sapiens (human), 1134 nucleotides long. RefSeq annotates it as ANKRD13C divergent transcript. The transcript is spliced from 5 exons. Lineage: Eukaryota; Metazoa; Chordata; Mammalia; Primates; Hominidae. The record is from RefSeq and is marked validated.